AAGCGCCUAUGACCAGACUUGGGCCCGGUGAAUCAUCCAGCGUUCUCGCUGGUGCACUUUGCCGGGCACAGGCCAGCAUCAGUUUGUCUUGGGGGAAAAAGGCUUUGGGAACGUGGCUCCCUCGGGAGUGUUAUAGACCAUUGCAUAAUACCCUGGGACGGACUGAGGUUCGCGCAUCUGCAAGGAUGCUGGCGUAAUGGUCAUCAGCGA
Molecule: ribosomal RNA, 210 nt
Filed under: Simplicillium sp.
Lineage: Eukaryota; Fungi; Ascomycota; Sordariomycetes; Hypocreales; Cordycipitaceae
Description: partial large subunit ribosomal RNA
Source: RNAcentral